ACUGAUACAAUACCCGAGCUAACAAGACAAGAAUCAGGGUUGAUAUCGAGUAUGAGAACAUUGUUGUCAAAGAAACAUUUGCUCAAUUCCAAGGCAAAAUGGAUAUCUUACUUUGAUCGCACCUGAUAUCCAAUGUGUUCUAAUUGUAUAUAUUUGAUUUGAUCAAUUUCACUUAUUAACAACAAAAUAGAUAUAACUAACGCCAAAAUAUUUAUUUUCUCUUACU
This 226-nucleotide long non-coding RNA is filed under the name Lathyrus oleraceus (garden pea). RNAcentral describes it as "Pisum sativum (pea) long non-coding RNA (PSAT_LNC012647)". The record is from RNAcentral. Lineage: Eukaryota; Viridiplantae; Streptophyta; Magnoliopsida; Fabales; Fabaceae.